GACGAACGCUGGCGGCGUGCUUAACACAUGCAAGUCGAACGGAAAGGCCCUGCUUUUGUGGGGUGCUCGAGUGGCGAACGGGUGAGUAACACGUGAGUAACCUGCCCUUGACUUUGGGAUAACUUCAGGAAACUGGGGCUAAUACCGGAUAGGAGCUCCUGCUGCAUGGUGGGGGUUGGAAAGUUUCGGCGGUUGGGGAUGGACUCGCGGCUUAUCAGCUUGUUGGUGGGGUAGUGGCUUACCAAGGCUUUGACGGGUAGCCGGCCUGAGAGGGUGACCGGCCACAUUGGGCCUGAGAUACGGCCCAGACUCCUACGGGAGGCAGCAGUGGGGAAUAUUGCACAAUGGGCCGAAGCCUGAUGCAGCAACGCCGCGUGCGGGAUGACGGCCUUCGGGUUGUAAACCGCUUUCGCCUGUGACGAAGCGUGAGUGACGGUAAUGGGUAAAGAAGCACCGGCUAACUACGUG
RNAcentral lists this ribosomal RNA (468 nucleotides) under uncultured bacterium. Its description in RNAcentral is "partial 16S ribosomal RNA". It matches the Rfam family "Bacterial small subunit ribosomal RNA", at positions 28 to 507 of the family's 1533-position model. The record is from RNAcentral.